Molecule: small nuclear RNA, 112 nt
Organism: Lytechinus pictus (painted urchin)
Lineage: Eukaryota; Metazoa; Echinodermata; Echinoidea; Temnopleuroida; Toxopneustidae
Source: RefSeq, a predicted model, not a curated record
UCUCACUCGAUUUUUUAUACAUUGUUAAGUAUGAAAUAAUAAAAAGCAAGGAAGAUUAGAAUGGCCCUUGUGCAAGGAUGACACGCAAAAUUGUGAAGCGUUCCAUAUUUUU